CUGAUUUCUAUUACACAGAACAUUAAUAAGAGAAGGCACUGACCCUCGAUUUCCGAGAACCAGGGAGAAAUUUGGAGCAUCUCCAAGAUUACAGCUGCCAGUGGCGAUGGGGAGAGUGGCCGUGAUAGCUCAUCUUCGGCCUCUCCUUCUGGCCAUCCAAGCUCUGGACUCAGCUCCGCCUGUCACAGCCAAACAGGACAGGGAGAUCAUGGGAAAGAAAAGCGGAAGACACAGAGCCAUCCGCGUGCAGUUACUCGGCAGCUUUGUAAAGAUCAUCUCCUGUUUGGAAAGGAAGCCUGCCACUCUUCCGCGUGGUUCAGAGGACAAAUCUUCCCUGGAGAUAAAUUCUUCAAAUUAAAGGGGCCUCACCUUAGAGGACUUCUUCACCAUAGAGGAAUCCACCGUAAAGUAAAAGCAGAGAUGCGCCCCAUGGUUUAUGUUCAAGUAUAUUUGUCACAACUGCACUGGUAAGGGCAAAAAGUUAGAAACAACUCUGCGUGUGUGUGUGUGUGUGUGUGUGCAUGCAUAUAUGCGCAUGUCUGACUCUUUGCGACCCCAUGGACUGUAGCCCGCCAGACUCCUCUGUCCCUGGAAUUUUCCAGACCAAACUACUGGCGCAGGUUGCCAUUUCCUUCUCCAGGGGAUCUUCCAGACCCAGGAAUGGAACCUGCGUCUUUUUCAUCUCCUGCGUUGGCAGGCAGAUUCUUUACCAAUUGAGCCACCAGGGAAU
This 730-nucleotide long non-coding RNA is filed under the name Capra hircus (goat). RNAcentral describes it as "lncRNA (ENSCHIG00000004436.1)". Lineage: Eukaryota; Metazoa; Chordata; Mammalia; Artiodactyla; Bovidae. The record is from RNAcentral.